AUGGUCUCAAGGACUUCUAGCCUCAAAUUCUUCUCACUACUAAUCUGUUCGAUUGCCAUUGUUCAGAUAGCGACCGCUGGAGACCCGGACAUUAUUACUGACUUCAUUGCUCCUCCAAAUGGAACAGUAGAUGGAAACUUCUUCACAUACACUGGCUUUCGUGUUCUUGUUGGAGGAGGCCCUCCUCCCACAGCUUUCACGGUGUUGAAGGCAACCCUGGCAGAGUUCCCUGCUCUUAAUGGGCAGAGUGUUUCUUAUGCCGUCCUUCAAUUCCCAUCCGGCACUACUAACCCACCGCACACUCAUCCUCGCUCUGCUGAACUCCUUUUCCUUGUUGAUGGUACCCUUGAAGUCGGUUUUGUUGACACGAAAAACAACCUCUUUACCCAGACUCUGCAAGCAGGUGAUCUGUUUGUGUUUCCGAAGGGACUUGCCCACUUCCAGUACAAUGCUGAUUCACAAAACCCAGCUCUAGCAAUUUCAGCCUUCGGAAGUGCAAAUGCAGGAACAGUAUCAAUCCCCAGCACCUUGUUCACCACCGGCAUUGACGACAAUGUCUUGGCUAUCUCCUUCAAGACAGAUGUAGCCACCAUUCAAAAGCUCAAGGCUGGUCUUGCUCCCAAACCGUAA
This 630-nucleotide long non-coding RNA is filed under the name Prunus dulcis (almond). RNAcentral's name for it is "sRNA ncRNA". The record is from RNAcentral. Lineage: Eukaryota; Viridiplantae; Streptophyta; Magnoliopsida; Rosales; Rosaceae.